This 253-nucleotide ribosomal RNA is filed under the name uncultured bacterium. Its description in RNAcentral is "partial 16S ribosomal RNA". It matches the Rfam family "Bacterial small subunit ribosomal RNA", at positions 524 to 776 of the family's 1533-position model. The record is from RNAcentral.
UACGUAGGGGGCUAGCGUUGUCCGGAUUCAUUGGGUUUAAAGGGAGCGUAGGCGGGUUUAUAAGUCAGUGGUGAAAGCCGAUCGCUUAACGAUCGAACUGCCAUUGAUACUGUAGACCUAGAGUACAGAUGAUGUUGGCGGAAUAUGACAUGUAGCGGUGAAAUGCAUAGAUAUGUCAUAGAACACCGAUUGCGAAGGCAGCUGACAAAACUGUAACUGACGCUGAGGCUCGAAAGUGCGGGGAUCAAACAGG